RNAcentral lists this ribosomal RNA (269 nucleotides) under uncultured bacterium. RNAcentral describes it as "partial 16S ribosomal RNA". The record is from RNAcentral.
CUGCUGCCUCCCGUAGGAGUCUGGUCCGUGUCUCAGUACCAGUGUGGGGGACCUUCCUCUCAGAACCCCUACGCAUCGUCGCCUCGGUGGGCCGUUACCCCGCCGACUAGCUAAUGCGCCGCAUGCCCAUCCGUAGCCGGAAUCGCUUCCUUUAAUCCCUCAGGAAUGCCCCCGAAAGAUAUUACGCGGUAUUAGACGGAAUUUCUUCCGCUUAUCCCCCUGCUACGGGCAGGUCGCAUACGUGUUACUCACCCGUGCGCCGGUCGCCG